Molecule: long non-coding RNA, 1902 nt
Filed under: Homo sapiens (human)
Lineage: Eukaryota; Metazoa; Chordata; Mammalia; Primates; Hominidae
Description: long non-coding RNA NONHSAT067901.2
Source: RNAcentral
UUUUCCCUGUUCUUCACGUGGGACACAUUCUCCCUGCUCUGUCUGUCUCUGUCCCUGUCUCUCUUUCUGUCUUUCUCUCUCACUGUGUGUCUCUCUGUCUCUCUCUCUCUUUUUUUUUUUUUUUGAGAUGGAGUUUCGCUCUUGUUGCCCAGGCUGGAGUGCAAUGGCACAAUCUUGGCUCACUGCAACCUCUGCCUCCCGGGUUCAAGCGAUUCUCCUGCCUCAGCCUCCUGAGCAGCUGGGAUUACAGGCAUGCACCACCACACACGGCUAAUUUUUUGUAUUUUUGUUAGAGACGGGGGGCUCUCCAUGUUGCUCAGGCUGGUCUUGAACUCCCGACCUCAGGUGAUCUGCCCACCUCAGCCUCCCAAAGUCCUGGGAUUACAGGCAUGAGCCACUGCGUCCAGCCGUCUUUGUCUCUUUUUCUACAUCUCUGUCUUUCUUCUCUGGUUGUUUUUCAACCAUCAGCUGGGUGUUUUCUCCCAUAACGUCUUGUUUGUUUGACUAUGAGGUUGACAGGUGGGUACAUGAACUCUAUAGCAGAAGGUGGACAGUCUGCACAUAGCAGAGGAUGGGUGAAUUUUUCUACCCCUUGCAGAGCACAGGAGAGCUGAGCAGAUGCCAGUGUCUGCUCCAGUGUAAGGAAGUCCAGGAAGUUCAGGUGGUGAGGUCACAGUGGAAAGCAGGACAGAUAGAGUUUAGGGGAAAUUAAGCAAAAAUACCACACUGUUAUUUCUUGACAUAUUAGUGGAAAGAGGAAGGGCCCAGAGAGAAGACAGAAAAUUAGAUGCAGGGGCUUGUUUUUUCUCUUGACUUGCCAACCCGCCCAACGCAGGGGCCAGAACUCAGGGUGGUGAGAUCUGGGAACAUUGCUGUGCGGAGAAGAUGUCCCUCCUGCUGCACGGGCCCCCAAGCACCACCUGGGGGAAGAGCCAUGUUUAAUUCACCUGGCAGUGCAGUGUGGCCAGGCAGAGAGGGAGGGCCUACCCUGUGCUUAUGAUCCCACCCCAGUUCCCCUGGGGUGUGCCCUGGCGGUGAACACCAGGAGGCUGCAGUGGGGCCCAACGUGAAAGGGAGGAGCAGCCUCACCGGGGCCAGAUGGGGCAGCAGCAGAUAUUCACAGAUGUCCCUGUGAGUAACCAGGGCAGAGGCCAGGGGUCUGGCCUUCCCUUUCUUGGAGCCCUGGGCCAGCUGGGCAAGGCGUUGAGAGAAAGAUUACCCGGUGACCUUUAUCAAAGCAGAGUAAGGAGGGCUUUAUUCAGAACCAUCACUGUAGGUACCAGGACCCCAGCGGUGGGAUUUUGUAGUAGGGGAAAGAAAAUGGGCUCGACGUUGAAUACAGCAUGAACAAGUGAGAAUGUUUGUUAUACAAACUAUAGGGUGGACUUUUUUUUUCUUUUUUUUAACUUUUUUUUACCUUUUAGUGUAAAACUGAACAUAGAAAAUAAAUUCAUGAAGAAGGGAUAUUUUCUGAGGGUGUCCAGGGCUGCCCAACACCUCGUCUACCUUCUCUGUCAUAGCCCCAUUUAAAACACUCUCUCUGGAUGAAUACACCAAACCUCACAGUCUUUGCUCUCUUGCUAGGAAGAGGAGCAAGAGCGUGUUUCACUCUUGGCUCCUGCUUACACACCUGCUGUCCAAUGGAAACUACUACUUAAGACAUUUAAAAAUAGUUGUGGUGAUAGCAUGUUGUGUUUUGGUUGGUGAUGCCAGUUAGUCUCUGAAAACUUUCUGUGAUGAGUGUAAAAUUCUACACCUUAAUCUCCUUUCUUGUAGGAUCUGGGAAGCAGUAUGCACUUGAUUGCACCAAAGAUUUUACGUUCAUAGAAAAUUUCUGGCAUCUGUGUGAAGAAAGUAAACUAUAUCUUCCAUUUAGACAAAUAAAAUAUCUUUUUGAUAAAA